Molecule: ribosomal RNA, 392 nt
Filed under: uncultured bacterium
Lineage: Bacteria
Description: partial 16S ribosomal RNA
Rfam family: Bacterial small subunit ribosomal RNA
Source: RNAcentral
AUACGGAGGAUGCGAGCGUUAUCCGGAUUUAUUGGGCUUAAAGGGAGCGUAGGCGGUAUAUUAAGUCAGCUGUGAAAGUUUGGGGCUCAACCUUAGAAUUGCAGUUGAUACUGGUUUCCUUGAGUACGGUACAGGUGGGCGGAAUUCGUGGUGUAGCGGUGAAUGCUUAGAUAUCACGAAGAAAUACGAUCGCGAAGGCAGCUCACCGGGCCGGAACUGACACUGAUGCUCGAAAGUGCGGGGAUCAAACAGGAUUAGAUACCCUGGUAGUCCGCACAGUAAACGAUGAAUACUCGCUGUUUGCGAUACACGGUAAGCGGCCAAGCGAAAGCGUUAAGUAUUCCACCUGGGGAGUACGCCGGCAACGGUGAAACUCAAAUGAAUUGGCGGGG